UCGAGAAUCUUCCGCAAUGGGCGAAAGCCUGACGGAGCGACGCCGCGUGAUUGAUGAAGUCCUUCGGGACGUAAAGAUCUUUUAUGGGGGAGGAAGUAAUUGACGUUACCCCAUGAAUAAGAGGCUCCUAACUCUGUGCCAGCAGGAGCGGUAAUACAGAGGCCUCAAGCGUUACCCGGAAUCACUGGGCGUAAAGGGUGUGUAGGCGGUUGUGUUAGUCUUUCGUGAAAGGCUUUGGGCUUAACCCAGAGAGCGCGGGGGAAACGGCACGACUUAGAGGAUGCGAGAGGUAAAGGGAACUCAAGGUGUAGGGGUGAAAUCCGUUGAUAUCUUGGGGAACACCAAAUGCGAAGGCACUUUACUGGCGCACUCCUGACGCUGAAACACGAAAGCGUGGGAAUCGAACGGGAUUAGAUACCCGCGUAGUCC
This 429-nucleotide ribosomal RNA is filed under the name uncultured bacterium. RNAcentral's name for it is "bacterial SSU rRNA". It matches the Rfam family "Bacterial small subunit ribosomal RNA", at positions 355 to 796 of the family's 1533-position model. The record is from RNAcentral.